RNAcentral lists this transfer RNA (73 nucleotides) under Crassvirales sp. Its description in RNAcentral is "tRNA-Ala". It matches the Rfam family "tRNA". Rfam says of the family: Transfer RNA (tRNA) molecules are approximately 80 nucleotides in length. Their secondary structure includes four short double-helical elements and three loops (D, anti-codon, and T loops). Further hydrogen bonds mediate the characteristic L-shaped molecular structure. tRNAs have two regions of fundamental functional importance: the anti-codon, which is responsible for specific mRNA codon recognition, and the 3' end, to which the tRNAs corresponding amino acid is attached (by aminoacyl-tRNA synthetases). tRNAs cope with the degeneracy of the genetic code in two manners: having more than one tRNA (with a specific anti-codon) for a particular amino acid; and 'wobble' base-pairing, i.e. permitting non-standard base-pairing at the 3rd anti-codon position. The record is from RNAcentral. Lineage: Duplodnaviria; Heunggongvirae; Uroviricota; Caudoviricetes; Crassvirales.
GGCGUUGUGGUGUAAUUGGCUAACACAUCUCCUUUGCAAGGAGAAGUUCAGGGUUCAAGUCCCUCAUUGUCCA